Molecule: ribosomal RNA, 913 nt
Filed under: uncultured bacterium
Lineage: Bacteria
Description: bacterial SSU rRNA
Rfam family: Bacterial small subunit ribosomal RNA
Source: RNAcentral
AGAGUUUGAUCAUGGCUCAGGACGAACGCUGGCGGCGUGCCUAAUACAUGCAAGUCGAGCGAGCUUGCCUAGAUGAUUUUAGUGCUUGCACUAAAUGAAACUAGAUACAAGCGAGCGGCGGACGGGUGAGUAACACGUGGGUAACCUGCCCAAGAGACUGGGAUAACACCUGGAAACAGAUGCUAAUACCGGAUAACAACACUAGACGCAUGUCUAGAGUUUGAAAGAUGGUUCUGCUAUCACUCUUGGAUGGACCUGCGGUGCAUUAGCUAGUUGGUAAGGUAACGGCUUACCAAGGCAAUGAUGCAUAGCCGAGUUGGGAGACUGAUCGGCCACAUUGGGACUGAGACACGGCCCAAACUCCUACGGGAGGCAGCAGUAGGGAAUCUUCCACAAUGGACGAAAGUCUGAUGGAGCAACGCCGCGUGAGUGAAGAAGGGUUUCGGCUCGUAAAGCUCUGUUGGUAGUGAAGAAAGAUAGAGGUAGUAACUGGCCUUUAUUUGACGGUAAUUACUUAGAAAGUCACGGCUAACUACGUGCCAGCAGCCGCGGUAAUACGUAGGUGGCAAGCGUUGUCCGGAUUUAUUGGGCGUAAAGCGAGUGCAGGCGGUUCAAUAAGUCUGAUGUGAAAGCCUUCGGCUCAACCGGAGAAUUGCAUCAGAAACUGUUGAACUUGAGUGCAGAAGAGGAGAGUGGAACUCCAUGUGUAGCGGUGGAAUGCGUAGAUAUAUGGAAGAACACCAGUGGCGAAGGCGGCUCUCUGGUCUGCAACUGACGCUGAGGCUCGAAAGCAUGGGUAGCGAACAGGAUUAGAUACCCUGGUAGUCCAUGCCGUAAACGAUGAGUGCUAAGUGUUGGGAGGUUUCCGCCUCUCAGUGCUGCAGCUCACGCAUUAAGCACUCCGCCUGGGGAG